CCGCGCGCCGCUGACCGUUGCCCGCCAACGGCUCCGGCAGCGCCGCCGCCGGGAGAGGGGGCGCCGGGCCGCCCUGGGCCCGCGCAGCCUGCGCGGGGCGCCGAUCCCCGAACCGGCCUAGCCCGCGGGCACGGGCUCCCCGCGUCCCCCCGGGGAUGCAACUCCCUCCCGGCCCUGGGACCCCGGCUGGGGGAACCGGCGCGACGGUGCGGGGCUCUCAGCGGUCCCCGCUGCAACUGUGCCCCCUCCUGCCGCCCGGACCCCCGCCCCCCUCGGAUCAGGGGCGGCUGCACCCAGCGCCGCGGAACUGCCGCCGGCGAACCCAGCGCCGGCCGCGGCGCAGCGCCUCCGCCUCGCCUCGCCUCACCUCACGGCGUGGCCGGUGCCCUGCGGAGCCCAGCGCAGCACAAGCCCGGCCUGAGCCCAACCCUCCGGGAAGUUUCCUGCCAUCGCGGCGGCCGGGGAAAACAACAGCUUCAAAGCCAGGAGCCGGAGCAAGAGGAAGGGCAGCGCGAGCAGAAAAGUGAGGGGCAUCGCUCGCCCGCCGCGCCGCUGCCGUCGGCGGCCGACCCCCGCGGAGGGCAGCCCGCUCAGCGCCGCCUCCCCAUUCGCUUCGGCGGCGGCCCCGCCGCACCGGCAGCGCCGCGGAACCGCCGGGCCGAGGAGCAGGCAGGCGAGCCGCCGCCUCCCGCCUGCCGGCAGCCUCCCCGGGCCGCCCGUCCCGCUCGCCGCAGCGCCGCCGAACCCCGCCCGCGCCCCCGCCCGCCCGCGCGGCGGCUCCGCCUCCCGGGGGCGCGCGCAGGCUCCGGCCGAGCGGCUCCUGCGGCCCCCGGCGGCAGCGGGCGCUCCCGGGGGGCGGCCGCGGAGCCCGGCGCCCCGCACCGGCGGCCGGAGGGGCGGCGGAGGGCGGCUCGGCUGCGCUGCGACCCGCCACCCGUUCCUCGGCGCCAAGUGUCGCGCAGGCUGUGCCUGCAGAGUUGGAGACGCCUCGUUAAGAUGCAGGUAGAAGAGAUGCGGAAGGCAGGGCGAGCAAGUGCGAAGGAGCCCCCAGCCUCCCGCCAGGCAGGGACGUCAGCGUGUAAUACACUGUAUGCUGGAUCAACAGUGUGGUUUCUGGAUAUCUGGGGUGUAAUUCCAUCUAUAGGCAGAAUAUAUCAGCUGCUGUCUGUUUUCCCCUUGAGAAAAUGUGUCUCUGAUGUACAUACAUUUCUAACUGAAGCAGGCCUUCCAGACUGCACAUGCAUGCCAUCCACCUACCAGGCAUAUGGAGACUGUGGAACAAAUAGAUGCAAGCAGUUCUGCAAUUGUUUGUUGGCUUUGGGAAACAAAUGGAUGCCUGGUGAACCACCAUCAUCACCUCAAUAUGUUUUGGAAGUCUGUUCAAAACUUCUCUUCUCCGUCCCCCCUGAGAAUGUAAAUUCUCAUAGCUCAAAAUAUUUUAGUCAAUAUUCCUGUUUCAUAUGCUUUGGAUACUCAACAUUAAUUUUCAGUGUAAUUCUGUCCCAGGUGUUUGUGCAGUACAAAAGGUUUUUGUUUCUAAGUACAUGUUUGCUAUGGUAA
This is a long non-coding RNA of Falco tinnunculus (common kestrel), 1560 nucleotides long. Lineage: Eukaryota; Metazoa; Chordata; Aves; Falconiformes; Falconidae. The record is from Ensembl.